Molecule: long non-coding RNA, 5430 nt
Organism: Hypanus sabinus (Atlantic stingray)
Lineage: Eukaryota; Metazoa; Chordata; Chondrichthyes; Myliobatiformes; Dasyatidae
Exons: 4
Source: RefSeq, a predicted model, not a curated record
GGAAAGCAGAAAACACAACCAUCUUCGGAGCUGUUUAACCCAGUAACCUAUAUUAAUUAACUAUUUAAGGUUUGAUAAAUUAUUCAUGCUAAUGAACAUAAUGUAAAUCCAACAUUCUGUAUUCUCCACUGAUGAAAGAAAAUCUGUCAGGAUAAACGCAACUCAGCCUAUUUUGCCUGUCAAUACGAUCAUGGCCAAUGUAAGAUUUAACUCCAUAUACUUAACUUUUCUUUGUGCUCCUGAAUACUUUUGUUACAAAAUGUAUCAAAUUAAUCAUUGAUCCAAUUAUCAACUGACUUUUGCACAAAAGUAUUCUAAUUUGCUGCCACCUUUCACAUGUUGAAAUCAUUCCAAUUUAAUUACUAAGUUGAUGGCCUCAAAAUUGACUCACUAAUCUAUGGUCCACAACUUGAGAGCCAGCAGAAAGUUUCUUUCUACUAAUCCGAGCAGUUCACAUUAGCAAAAGUGUGGAUGUGGAUUUCUCUAACUUCUGGUAACCACUCUCCUUUGUUGCCCUGCUCAUUUUUUUUCCCCUUAUCCUACCCUUUUCUCCUCCCCCACCAUCUCGAUCUGCACAUCACCCACACAUUCCAUGGUCCAUUGUCCUCUAUUAUAUUCCAUCUUCUUCAGCCCUUUCUCUCCGCUGUCUAUAACCUCCAAACGUAUGGACCACUCCUACUCUCCCCCUUCCUUAAAAGUUAUUCCUUACACAUCACUCCUACUUUCCUCCUUCCUCACCUGACUCUCGUCCCCUCCCCUCACCUGCAUUUAUCUGUCACCUGCCAGCUCUUCCUCCCCCCUCCCCCCCCCCACCCUGUUAUACAGGCUCCCCUUUCUUUCCAAUGCCAAUGAAGGGUCUCAUCCUAAAACAUCAUCUGUUUCCCUCCAUGGCUGCUGCUUGGCCUGCUGAAUUCCUCCAGCAUUUUGUGUGCUGCUCCAGGUUUCCAGCAUUUGCAGUCUCUACUAUUUAAAAAAAUCUACAUAUUCUGGAAAUUUGAAGCACAAAUCAGUAAAUGCUCAACAUUUCGGACAGCAACUGUGGGAUGAAAAUCAGUAUAAUUGCUAUUCCAGCUGAAUGUGAUUUUUCUUUUACAUUUAUUCUGAUUCUGGUUUAGUAUUAGUUAUACGUAGUGAGAGACAGUGAAAAACUUUGUUUUGCAUGCCAUUCAUAUAGGUCAUGAGGUAGAAUGUGAGAUCAAGAGUGCAUCUUAUUGUUCUGGGGACUAUGUAAUAAUCUAACAGUGGUAGACAAGCUCCCCUUGAGCCUGCUGAUACAUGCUUUCAGUUCCACAUGAUUUCACUUUGUACCUUCAAGUUGCUAAGACAGGAAAGAAGUAAUCGGGGGUCUCCUUCCGUAUUGCCUCACUGUGAACAAUGACCUAACCCCUCCCCUCCAUCUUAACUCCCAUUCUGCAGCUAAAAUUUCAUUAUAUCACUGAAGGGGGGAUGCUACUAUAGUUGAAUAGGUCACAACUGUUCACUGGAUAUGUUGACACAAGAAGGCUAGGCACUUGAUAAUUGUCAUGUUGACAAAUAUAUUCCAGCUGUCAGCAAAGCAUGGCUAUAUAUAAAGAUGGAAAGGGGAAAAAUACUGUUUUGUUAGUAGCACCAUUGUGAUUUAAAAUGAUUUAUCAAAAAUGCAAUAGUUACUCUCACAUUUUCUCCUAGUUACAUCAGAAUGCAAAGCAAGACUUGAUGAGUGGGUCCUCUAUCUAAAUACUAAGCUAUGUGGUACAUAAUUAUCAUCAGUUAAAGUACAGCAGCUCAUGCUCUCAGGAUGUGUCAAAGUGCUUUCCGGCCAGUGGAAUACUUGUGGAAUGCAUUCACUAGGGUUGAAAGACUGUGCUUGUGUAUGGAGGGAGGGGAAAUGGGGCUUGUUUUGCUGCUCUCGUUUUGUCACUUGUCGGAUUCAGUUUUGCUCUGUGUUGUUCAUUGUGGGCAUGCUAUGUUGGCACUGGAUUGUGUGGCAACAUUUGAGGGCUGCCCCAGCAAAAUGUUAGGUUCUGUUGGUUGUUAACACAAAUGACACAUUUCACCCUAUGUUUCGACGUACCUCUCAUAGGUAAAUGAAUUCCUAAAUUACAGACAGACAGACAUCCUUUAUUGAUCCCGAGGGAAAUUGGGUUUCGUUACAGCCACACCAACCAAGAAUAGUGAAGAAAUAUAGCAAUAUAAAACCACAAAUAAUUAAAUAAUAAUGUUAAUCAUGCCAAGCGGAAAUAAGUCCAGGACCAGCCUAUUGGCUCAGGGUGUCUGACACUCCGAGGGAGGAGUUGUAAAGUUUGAUAGCCACAGGUAGGAAUGACUUCCUAUGACGCUCAGUGGAAUGAGUCUCUGGCUGAAUGUACUCCUGUGCCUAACCAGUACAUUAUGGAGUGGAUGAGAGUCAUUGUCCAAGAUGGCAUGCAGCUUGGACAGCAUCCUCCUUUCAGACACCAAUCUACAGCAAUCUAACUCUGAGGUCAGAGGACUACCAUUAAACAAAACCUCUAUAUUCAAGUACUUUUCCUUCUACACUAAUUCCUGCAGCCAUCGGCUUCUCUUCAGAUAUAAAAAUUCAAUUUGAGUGACUGUGUCUUCCAUUGGAUUCUAGAACUGUUUUCCAAUAAUGCCUAUUUAAAGGGCUAUCAGUUACUGGUAGCAAAGUAUUUUCCACUUUAGUUCACUAAACCCUGUUUUUUUUUACAAUGCUCUUUACUUUGACAAUUCUUGCCAGCAGUGCUGCAGUGAAAAAAAAAUUGCAACUAUAAAUGUUACCUGCAAGUUGAGUUCACUUAUUUCCAUAACAGGUUGAAAAUUUGAGUAUCAAGACACAAGAUGGCAUUACCAAAUCUCUUGCUGUGGACUCCUUGAGCAUUCAACAAGCUCAAGGAUGCAGCUGUUCCACAUUAACUGACUUCAGCAGUUAUAGUAUUGGCUCCAGGUGUAAACUGCUGCCUUUGCCAGAAAGCAUCUGUCUCAUUUAACACCUAGAGAACUGACAACAUCCGGCCAAGUCUACCUAUAGGACUUACCACCUAUUCUACAACAGCACUGUGAGAGUCCUCUUGAAAAAUAAGUAAUUACUUAUUGCAAUCCAAUCAUCUUUAUUUUGAAAAGAUGCAUGUUAUCAUAAUUGGACACUGACAACUACUCAGAAAUAUUAAUAAAAAUAUCAAUUAUUUCAAAAUUUCAUUAAUCAGUGUUUUCUAAGUGGUAAUAGCUGCUGUGUCAAUACUUCAAAGUAUGUAGUUCAGCAGAUAAUCACUGAAGAAUGGUUUGUUUAUGGCAUUUCACCAUUGCUAGAUUAGUACGAAUCUUCCCAUUCUAACACCUUUUGCAUGUGUGAUAUGGGCUCCACUGGAAGAACUGGGAAGCAAAGUCAAUUCCAAUUGCCCCUAUUCAGGAGUCCCCCAUUUUUCGAAUGUUCGCUUUAUGACACCUCGCUGUUACAAAAGACCUAUAUUAGUUACCCAUUCUCGUUAACAGGAAGUGUUUUCACUGUUACAAAAAAAGGCAGCAUGGACCCCGAGCAGCCAAGCUCCUCCCCGGAACUGCAUUCUAGCCACCAUUGCUUAAACACGUGCCUGUGAGCAUCUGUGCUUUACGUCAAUUUAUUUUGUGCAUCCGUUAGCAAGAAGAGUUCCAAGGCAUCGAAAAAGCCUAAAAUAGCUCAUAAGGGUGUUACACUUAGUGUAAAACUAGACAUGAUUAAGGGUUUCAACUGUCGUGACGAAGUAAGGACAAAGGGAGUUUGGCUUGUGGAAGUUGACGAAGAUGAUGUUGAAGAGGUUUUGGCAUCCCAUGACCAAGAACUGAUAGACGAAGAGCUCAAACACGAGGAAAUCUGCAGAUGCUAGAAUUACAAGUGUAACACUUACCCAACAGGCUGGUAUAUGUCUAGGGGAAAAGGAGAUCCAGCCACACACCAACCCCACCUCCCGUACACACAGGUGCUGUGAGAAUCGAGUUUAUGCCGCGCGUACACACACACAUCAUAUCAAACUCACACCAGAUACCGUCGUGGAAUACACUUUAAGAUUUUACUAAAACUAAAAGAGUACUAUGCAAUACAGUAUAUAUGAAGGAAAAGAAAAUAAAGUAAAAGGCGCCAACUUAUCAAAGAUCAGUCAGUCUAGUGCACAUCGUUGGAGCUCAACCAUCAAACCAUUCGACCCCUCGUCACUUUCCUCCGACCUCCACAUCCUUGCACCUGGGACCACCCGGGUGGUCGACCGACUAGUGCAGCUCACGUCCACCUUCCUCGGCGUCUCCUUCCCGACUUCCCUGAAAAGACCACGAAAACCCCCAAGCUCCCAGCCCCACAAGACAAAAUAACGUUCCCCAUUGGUCAACAAAUGAAUACAAUCCCGAUAUCAGCAAGUCUAAAGCUAAACAACUGUGAGAGAAAGCACUUAUCAUACAAAGAAACAUUCCUACUCUUAACAGAACAAAGAAGCCAUUUUGAUUAACAUACACAGAACAUUGUAUACAAGCAACACACACAAAAUGCUGGUGGAACGCAGCAGGCCAGGCAGCAUCUAUAGGAAGAAGCACUGUCGACGUUUUGGGCCAAGACCCUUCAUCAGGACUAACUGAAAGAAAAGAUAGUAAGAGAUUUGAAAGUGGGAAGGGGAGGGGGAAAUCCAAAAUGACAGGAGAAGACAAGAGGUGGAGGCAUGAAGCUAAGAGCUGGAAAAAGUGAUUGGCAAAAGGGAUACACAGCUGGAGAAGGGAGAGGAUCAUGGGACGGGAGGCUUAGGGAUAAAGACAGCUGAUGCAAUUGGAAGAGAAAAGGAUAACAAUUGAAACCAAAUGCAGUAGCGAAUGGCACAAAAGUGAAGUCGUCCAGGAAGUGAACGUGAAGCAACUGCAUGAGAUUGACAACGCUACAAUAAUGGCAGAAAAGUAUGACUUUAAUUUUUAAAGGGUACCUAGGUUCAGGGCAUAUUUGCAUAUAUAGUUUUGAGUGUUUACAAAGAACUGUAUGAUAGAAAAAUGCACGAGGCUAAACAGUCAAGUGUACUGUCGAUUUUCAAGCCUUCCACAUCUGCCACAGCAGACGAUGAACCUCGACCUUCGACAUUGAGGCAGGCAGACAUAAGGUGACCUGCCUGCCCUGACGGAAACAGAUGAUGAUGAGAUGACACCCCAGUGUCCCAGCGCCCCAACCUCUGAUGACUCAGCCUAACACACCAUCAUCAGUGUCUUCACUGUCUUCCUGAUUCCGGGGUCACCAACCUUUUUUGCACCACGGACCAGUUUAAUAUUGACAAUAUUCUCGCAGACCGGACUGGCUGACAGGAGGGUGUUCAUCACGACCGGAAUACAGAUUCUACCACUCACUUCACAUUAAGGAGAUAUGCAUGUUAAUUCUUUUACACAAAGAGUGAUGCUGCCUGGAUUGCUCAAUUUCUCCAGCAUUGCCUAUUUUUCUUUUGUGAUCCUGAC